CCCCCACUGGUGAAGCAGGUCUCCAGAUACGUCUCUAGCAUUCUCCAUCCUGAGCUACAUGGAAACCACGAAAAGGACUGUGUUUCUGCCUGCUGGUUGAGGAGAGCCCAAGCAAGAAACCAGGGAGAGAAAAAGGGGCGCUGCAAAUCCACAACCAUUGUCUGGCAGACAAAGAUCUCAGUCCGCUGCAAUCAUUUUUAUCAUCAGGUAAGCCAGACGGCAUGUGUUUUUCAAAUUGUAUUCACGAGUGCUAUCUUUUACUGGCCAAGUAAGUGAUAACAUUAUUUACUCUGGGAUUGAAUUAUCAAUAUAUAUAUGUAUAUAUAAAACAAUAUUUAACAAUGAUUUUUUUUUAAAAAAAAAAGCUUGUUAGAUCAUUUUUGUAGAGAUGAAUUGGUUCCCAAAGACUUGAUUUAAAAAAAAAAAAAAGAAAGAUCUGGAGUUGGGGGGUAGAGUACUGGGUGAAGCGUGUGGGGCGCGUAUCGCAAAGUGCAAAGACCAGUGUAAGACCAAAUACAGAAA
This is a long non-coding RNA of Erinaceus europaeus (western European hedgehog), 522 nucleotides long. RefSeq lists it as uncharacterized. Lineage: Eukaryota; Metazoa; Chordata; Mammalia; Eulipotyphla; Erinaceidae. The transcript has 3 exons. The record is from RefSeq and is a predicted model, not a curated record.